RNAcentral lists this ribosomal RNA (488 nucleotides) under uncultured bacterium. Its description in RNAcentral is "bacterial SSU rRNA". It matches the Rfam family "Bacterial small subunit ribosomal RNA", at positions 501 to 987 of the family's 1533-position model. The record is from RNAcentral.
CUACGUGCCAGCAGCCGCGGUAAUACGUAGGUGGCAAGCGUUGUCCGGAUUUAUUGGGCGUAAAGCGAGCGCAGGCGGUUCCUUAAGUCUGAUGUGAAAGCCCCCGGCUCAACCGGGGAGGGUCAUUGGAAACUGGGGAACUUGAGUGCAGAAGAGGAGAGUGGAAUUCCAUGUGUAGCGGUGAAAUGCGUAGAUAUAUGGAGGAACACCAGUGGCGAAGGCGACUCUCUGGUCUGUAACUGACGCUGAGGCUCGAAAGCGUGGGUAGCAAACAGGAUUAGAUACUCUGGUAGUCCACGCCGUAAACGAUGAGUGCUAAGUGUUGGAGGGUUUCCGCCCUUCAGUGCUGCAGUUAACGCAUUAAGCACUCCGCCUGGGGAGUACGACCGCAAGGUUGAAACUCAAAGGAAUUGACGGGGACCCGCACAAGCGGUGGAGUAUGUGGUUUAAUUCGACGCAACGCGAAGAACCUUACCAGGUCUUGACAU